Cellulophaga algicola DSM 14237 is the source of this 101-nucleotide non-coding RNA. The record is from Rfam. NCBI's taxonomy places the organism in Bacteria, Pseudomonadati, Bacteroidota, Flavobacteriia, Flavobacteriales, Flavobacteriaceae.
AUAAUCACGAGUUGGUAUAGUAGAGAAGUCAGCCGAGGUCAUAGUACUUACAGGAAACGAGCUAGGGAAAAACCCUAGAGGUCUCAUGAGUAAGGAAGGAC